GGUGGGGAUAAACAAGAGUGCAGAGAGACAGCGCACUCUCAUAUACCUAUUUAUUUAUUUUUUGGAAACAACAGAUGCAAUGACAGAUCUGCCGGGAAAAAUAGAAUUCCGCUGACACAUGACGAACGCCGUUCUCGUAAAGCUAUUUUUGAAGUGAGAACGGCGAGCUACUUUGGUAAAGUCCACGGUUAAGCCGGCUGAGGCGUUAGAGUGCAACCCCAUAUAUUAGAUUUCUAGAGCGGAUCUUUUGCCUGAGGCCAUUAACGAAAUACAGAAGCUGACAAGAGGUUCAAAAAACCAUCAACCAGCUGAAUAAAAUUAACAAUAAACUUGAAUUCCAAAGAACGAAAUUAAAGACGGAACUCAUGGAUCAUAGAGUUUGCCUUGAAAACGAAAUCGGGUAAAGUUGUAAUGACUCUGACAUAGAAAUUAUGGACAUAGGAUCGGACGACGAAGAUCUACAAACAAAAAGCCUAAGUACCUAUCGACCUUUUUUAAAUAUGCGAUUUGCACAGGGAAAUAUUGGGCGAUGUAGUGUCUUCAAUAAACAACUAAAUUUUAUUAAAUUUAUUAUAGGUACA
Galleria mellonella (greater wax moth) is the source of this 581-nucleotide long non-coding RNA. RefSeq lists it as uncharacterized. The transcript has 6 exons. NCBI's taxonomy places the organism in Eukaryota, Metazoa, Arthropoda, Insecta, Lepidoptera, Pyralidae. The record is from RefSeq and is a predicted model, not a curated record.